Molecule: ribosomal RNA, 520 nt
Filed under: uncultured Glomus
Lineage: Eukaryota; Fungi; Glomeromycota; Glomeromycetes; Glomerales; Glomeraceae
Description: SSU rRNA
Rfam family: Eukaryotic small subunit ribosomal RNA
Source: RNAcentral
AGCAGCCGCGGUAAUUCCAGCUCCAAUAGCGUAUAUUAAAGUUGUUGCAGUUAAAAAGCUCGUAGUUGAAUUUCGGGGCCAGUAGGUUGGUCGUGCCACUGGUAUGCACUGGCCUCACUGGUCCCUCCUUCUUGUAGAACCGUGAUGGCAUUAAUUUGUUGUUGCGGGGAAACAGGACUGUUACUUUGAAAAAAUUAGAGUGCUUAAAGCAGGCUCGCGCUUGAAUACAUUAGCAUGGAAUAACGAAAUAGGACGAUCGAACCUAUUUUGUUGGUUUCUAGGAUCGACGUAAUGAUUAAUAGGGAUAGUUGGGGGCAUUAGUAUUCAAUUGUCAGAGGUGAAAUUCUUGGAUUUAUUGAAGACUAACUACUGCGAGGGCAUUUGCCAAGGAUGUUUUCAUUAAUCAAGAACGAAAGUUAGGGGAUCGAAGACGAUCAGAUACCGUCGUAGUCUUAACCAUAAACUAUAGCCGACUAGGGAUCGGAUGAAGUUAAUUUUUUAAUGUACUCAUUCGGCGCCU